This 170-nucleotide ribosomal RNA is filed under the name uncultured Clostridium sp. Its description in RNAcentral is "partial 16S ribosomal RNA". It matches the Rfam family "Bacterial small subunit ribosomal RNA", at positions 338 to 525 of the family's 1533-position model. Lineage: Bacteria; Bacillati; Bacillota; Clostridia; Eubacteriales; Clostridiaceae. RNAcentral also lists the same sequence under 1 other name. The record is from RNAcentral.
UCUACGGGAGGCAGCAGUGGGGAAUAUUGCACAAUGGAGGAAACUCUGAUGCAGCGACGCCGCGUGAACGAUGAAGGUCUUCGGAUCGUAAAGCUCUGUCCUAGGGGAAGAUAAUGACGGUACCCGAGGAGGAAGCCCCGGCUAACUACGUGCCAGCAGCCGCGGUAAUA